RNAcentral lists this non-coding RNA (30 nucleotides) under Rattus norvegicus (Norway rat). Lineage: Eukaryota; Metazoa; Chordata; Mammalia; Rodentia; Muridae. The record is from RNAcentral.
UGUGAGGUAUGUGACAAAUGGUUUACUAUG